CGCUGGCGGCGUGCUUAACACAUGCAAGUCGAACGGGGAUAGGUUGGAAAGGCUUCGGCCCGGAAGACUUAAUUCGAGUGGCGGACGGGUGAGUAACGCGUGAGCAACCUGUCCCAGACAGGGGGAUAACACUUGGAAACAGGUGCUAAUACCGCAUAAGACCACGGGGUCACAUGGCUCUGGGGUAAAAGGAGCAAUCCGGUUUGGGGUGGGCUCGCGUCCGAUUAGAUAGUUGGUGAGGUAACGGCCCACCAAGUCGACGAUCGGUAGCCGACCUGAGAGGGUGAUCGGCCACAUUGGAACUGAGAGACGGUCCAAACUCCUACGGGAGGCAGCAGUGGGGAAUAUUGGGCAAUGGGCCGAAAGCCUGACCCAGCAACGCCGCGUGAGUGAAGAAGGCCUUCGGGUUGUAAAGCUCUGUUAUAGGGGACGAAGGAAGUGACGGUACCCUAUAAGGAAGCCCCGGCUAACUACGUGCCAGCCGCGGC
RNAcentral lists this ribosomal RNA (488 nucleotides) under uncultured bacterium. RNAcentral's name for it is "bacterial SSU rRNA". It matches the Rfam family "Bacterial small subunit ribosomal RNA", at positions 34 to 518 of the family's 1533-position model. The record is from RNAcentral.